CACGGAGGCUGGAGUUGGCGGCGGUGGCUGCUGAUUUUUUGCUUAGGGUUUUUUUGUUUUUUUUUUGUUUUUUUUGUGGGCUAGGGUUUGUUAUUGGGUAUUGAGUUUGGGCUAGGUUAAUUGAGUUUCUGAUUGGGCUGCUAUUUGGACUUUUAAUUUGGAUUUAUUUAUUUCAUUUGUUAACUGGGCCGGUAAAAUGGGUAUAACAGUUGCCCCUCUUUGCUCGUUGUCGUGUAACGGGAACGGAGCAAAGACCCUAGAAAUGACCAAUUUUGUCCGGUAGAGCUUGGACCUUGGUGCUUCUAUUCUUCAAGUAGCCUC
RNAcentral lists this long non-coding RNA (321 nucleotides) under Gossypium raimondii (Peruvian cotton). RNAcentral describes it as "long non-coding RNA (GRAI_LNC001140)". Lineage: Eukaryota; Viridiplantae; Streptophyta; Magnoliopsida; Malvales; Malvaceae. The record is from RNAcentral.